UAGGGAAUCUUCCACAAUGGACGCAAGUCUGAUGGAGCAACGCCGCGUGAGUGAAGAAGGUUUUCGGAUCGUAAAGCUCUGUUGUUGGUGAAGAAGGAUAGAGGCGGUAACUGGUCUUUAUUUGACGGUAAUCAACCAGAAAGUCACGGCUAACUACGUGCCAGCAGCCGCGGUAAUACGUAGGUGGCAAGCGUUGUCCGGAUUUAUUGGGCGUAAAGCGAGCGCAGGCGGAAUGAUAAGUCUGAUGUGAAAGCCCACGGCUCAACCGUGGAACUGCAUCGGAAACUGUCAUUCUUGAGUGCAGAAGAGGGGAGUGGAAUUCCAUGUGUAGCGGUGGAAUGCGUAGAUAUAUGGAAGAACACCAGUGGCGAAGGCGGCUCUCUGGUCUGCAACUGACGCUGAGGCUCGAAAGCAUGGGUAGCGAACAGG
RNAcentral lists this ribosomal RNA (429 nucleotides) under bacterium. RNAcentral's name for it is "partial 16S ribosomal RNA". It matches the Rfam family "Bacterial small subunit ribosomal RNA", at positions 355 to 776 of the family's 1533-position model. The record is from RNAcentral.